GGCCAGUUAGCUCAGUCAGUUGAGCAUAGCGCUAACAACUCUAAGGUAGCGGGUUCAGUUCCUGUUCGGUCCC
This 73-nucleotide transfer RNA is filed under the name Apaloderma vittatum (bar-tailed trogon). It matches the Rfam family "tRNA". From Rfam's summary of the family: Transfer RNA (tRNA) molecules are approximately 80 nucleotides in length. Their secondary structure includes four short double-helical elements and three loops (D, anti-codon, and T loops). Further hydrogen bonds mediate the characteristic L-shaped molecular structure. tRNAs have two regions of fundamental functional importance: the anti-codon, which is responsible for specific mRNA codon recognition, and the 3' end, to which the tRNAs corresponding amino acid is attached (by aminoacyl-tRNA synthetases). tRNAs cope with the degeneracy of the genetic code in two manners: having more than one tRNA (with a specific anti-codon) for a particular amino acid; and 'wobble' base-pairing, i.e. permitting non-standard base-pairing at the 3rd anti-codon position. Lineage: Eukaryota; Metazoa; Chordata; Aves; Trogoniformes; Trogonidae. The record is from Rfam by way of RNAcentral.